GCUGCGGUGGUGAGCGCGGCGAACGCCUCGCGCAUGCGCCACGCGCCGCGGUCGCGGGGGCCGAUCGGGUUCGAGACCGUCCGCAGCUC
RNAcentral lists this transfer RNA (89 nucleotides) under Micromonospora sp. AKA38. RNAcentral's name for it is "tRNA-Arg". Lineage: Bacteria; Bacillati; Actinomycetota; Actinomycetes; Micromonosporales; Micromonosporaceae. The record is from RNAcentral.